RNAcentral lists this ribosomal RNA (1123 nucleotides) under Pustulibacterium marinum. RNAcentral describes it as "bacterial SSU rRNA". It matches the Rfam family "Bacterial small subunit ribosomal RNA", at positions 1 to 1127 of the family's 1533-position model. Lineage: Bacteria; Pseudomonadati; Bacteroidota; Flavobacteriia; Flavobacteriales; Flavobacteriaceae. The record is from RNAcentral.
UAACGAUGAAGAGUUUGAUCCUGGCUCAGGAUGAACGCUAGCGGCAGGCCUAACACAUGCAAGUCGAGGGGUAGAAAUAGCUUGCUAUUUUGAGACCGGCGCACGGGUGCGUAACGCGUAUGCAAUCUACCUUAUACAGAGGGAUAGCCCAGAGAAAUUUGGAUUAAUAUCUCAUAGUAUUACUGAGUAGCAUUAUUUAGUAAUUAAAGUUUCGGCGGUAUAAGAUGAGCAUGCGUCCUAUUAGUUAGAUGGUGUGGUAACGGCGCACCAUGACUACGAUAGGUAGGGGUCCUGAGAGGGAGAUCCCCCACACUGGUACUGAGACACGGACCAGACUCCUACGGGAGGCAGCAGUGAGGAAUAUUGGUCAAUGGUCGGAAGACUGAACCAGCCAUGCCGCGUGCAGGAAGACUGCCCUAUGGGUUGUAAACUGCUUUUGUAUGGGAAGAAUAAGAGUUACGUGUAACUUGAUGACGGUACCAUACGAAUAAGGAUCGGCUAACUCCGUGCCAGCAGCCGCGGUAAUACGGAGGAUCCAAGCGUUAUCCGGAAUCAUUGGGUUUAAAGGGUCCGUAGGCGGGUCUAUAAGUCAGGGGUGAAAGUUUGCCGCUCAACGGUAAAAUUGCCUUUGAUACUGUAGGUCUUGAAUAUGUGUGAAGUGGUUAGAAUAUGUAGUGUAGCGGUGAAAUGCAUAGAUAUUACAUAGAAUACCGAUUGCGAAGGCAGAUCACUAACACAUCAUUGACGCUGAUGGACGAAAGCGUGGGGAGCGAACAGGAUUAGAUACCCUGGUAGUCCACGCCGUAAACGAUGGAUACUAGCUGUUCGGUCUUCGGAUUGAGUGGCUAAGCGAAAGUGAUAAGUAUCCCACCUGGGGAGUACGUUCGCAAGAAUGAAACUCAAAGGAAUUGACGGGGGCCCGCACAAGCGGUGGAGCAUGUGGUUUAAUUCGAUGAUACGCGAGGAACCUUACCAGGGCUUAAAUGUAGUCUGACAGGACCAGAGAUGGUUUUUUCUUCGGACAGAUUACAAGGUGCUGCAUGGUUGUCGUCAGCUCGUGCCGUGAGGUGUCAGGUUAAGUCCUAUAACGAGCGCAACCCCUGCCGUUAGUUACCAGCAUGUU